This 253-nucleotide ribosomal RNA is filed under the name uncultured bacterium. RNAcentral describes it as "partial 16S ribosomal RNA". It matches the Rfam family "Bacterial small subunit ribosomal RNA", at positions 524 to 776 of the family's 1533-position model. The record is from RNAcentral.
UACGUAGGGGGCGAGCGUUGUCCGGAGUUACUGGGCGUAAAGCGCACGCAGGCGGUCGACUAAGUUUGGAGUGACAGUUUUCGGCUCAACCGAGAAAGUGCUCUGAAAACUGGUUGACUUGAGGGCUUCAGAGGGACACGGAAUUCCGGGUGGAGUGGUGAAAUGCGUAGAGAUCCGGAGGAACACCGAAGGCGAAGGCAGUGUCCUGGGGAGUACCUGACGCUCAGGUGCGAAAGCCAGGGGAGCGAACGGG